CAGGUGCUGGCUGGCCUUCCUUCUAAUGAGGGUGCUAUCCAGGGGUGGCUUUCAAAGACUGAAGGGCAGGCACCUACCUCAGCUCAUGCCCCAGUCAGCUGCUCCUCAGGUGGCUGAGGAGGGCCCGUUCCCAGGAAUGAUACUGCAGACAAAUAUAAAGGCCAUCGUUCCCCUAGGUCCCUUCCUGGGGAGGUUGAAACUCAGGAAGCUGCCCAAAGUGGCUGUUGCUUAUGAGCGGGGCCUUGAAGCCCAAGGAUAUGCAGUUUUUUUUGUUUUUUUUUUUUUUUUGAGAUGGAGUCUUGCCCUGUCGCUAGGCUGGAGUGCAGGGUGUCAUCUUGGCUCACUGCAACCUCCGACUCCCUGGUUCAAGCGAUUCUUCUGCCUCAGCGUCCCGAGUAGCUGGGAUUACAGGCACGUGCCACCACACCCAGAUAGUUUUUGUAUUUUUAGUAGAGAUGGGGUUUCACCAUGUUGGCCAGGAUGGUCUCGAUCUCCUGACCUCGUGAUCCACCUGCCUCAGCCUCCAAAAGUGCUGGGAUUACAGUCAUGAGCCACCGCGCCUGCCCGGAUACGUGAAUAUUUUAUCUAGCAGUGAAUGAAGGUGUGGGGUGCCCAGCAAGGAGCUGUAGGGGUCUCAGUCAUGAGGACACAGCAGGAAAAGGACAGACGAGAAUGGCAGCAUGCGCAUGGUCAGUGCUGCCCAAAGGCAGGGCAGGCAGGAGGAUGGGGUGGGAUGGUGGGGGUCCCAGCAGGCUGGGGGCAGGGCACCUGCCCGCCUAGCACAGUUGGGCGCAGCAAGCUGAGGGGCCAGAAGAAAACUAAAGGGUGUGGUGAUUCCAGCAAACCCAAGGUCAGAUUUCAGAGCAGAAAGUUGUCACUUGGAGAGCAGCAAGCAUCCGUCCUGUUGAUGUAGUCUAGGAGACGCUGUCACAUCACCUGAUACUCUGGAGUCUUUCUGAGAUAGGUUGGCAUCCCAUUUACCCUGUAACACCCAAAACUUCUUAUGUCCUGUUCCCCACCUGGGCGUUGUGCGUGGGCUGGGAACGGGAAAACUUGGGCAGAGCAGAGACACAGAGGGGGCGUCUGGUAGAGACUGCGUGAGGAACCCCCUAGGAGAACCGUGGGAUGCCUGGCAAGUCUGCAGUGCUGCACUCUGAAAUCAGUCAGCCACAGACACACAGGUUUCCAAGCGAAGCUCCCUCCCCAUGUGAUGGAGGUCACAGUCGCCCUCCCUGUCAUGCCUCCUUUCACCCUCCCAGCUGGGUCAGGUCCCCAGUCAGAGGCAGAGGUGAGCACAGUCUAGGGAAGCAACCUGCGGUCCACCCCCACUACUCACCCCUGCCUUUACAGCUGCGUGCGCUUCAGCCCUGGGAGGCCUGAUUCUCACAGAGCUAGAGCACCUUAGUGGCCCUGGGACUCAACUCUCCUGGGUCCCAGUCAGGACCCCCAUCCCAGUCCUGUGUGCAUUUGGGAACCAAGUCCUUAGGGCUUGAGUCUAAAUGGUCCUUCCGUAAGAAAGCUGAUUCUGGCACCAACAGAGAAACUGCCUCAGAUGAAGAGUGUUAGCACCUGAAGGGACCCCCAGGCCUGUCCUGACCCUCCCACCCCUGCUAUCAGCCCAACUUGUGUCCCUUUCUGGAAGAACCGCUUCCAGCAGCCAGUGUGCUAUGCUUCCUCCUGGCUCUGCCCCGCACCCCCAGAACAGCCCCUGGGCUUACGGGAGACACUAGUCUCUGGGCUUCUGCAGCCGAUCAAGCUGCUGGCCCCUCCCUCCCAAGCACUAGAGGAGGCACUUGUUCUGUGGGCCGCGGCCCCUCCCUCCCCAGCACUGGAGGAGGCACUCGUUGUGUGGGCCCCGGCCCCUCCAUGUCUGACAGAACUGCUCUGCUUCUCCUACAGUCCCUGAGAUUCUGCAGCUCAGCGAUGCCCUGCGGGACGACAUCCUGCCCGAGCUUGGGGUGCGGUUUGAAGACCAUGAAGGACUGCCCACGGUGGUGAAACUGGUAGACAGAAACACCUUAUUAAAAGAGAGAGAAGAAAAGAGACGAGUUGAAGAGGAGAAGAGGAAGAAGAAAGAGGAGGCGGCCCGGAGGAAACAGGAACAAGAACACUCUGAAUCUGAGGGCUUGGAAGCAAGUUGAGGGCUGGAGGUAUGAGCAGAUGUCGUUCACAGUGUGGAGCCCCAGGUGCUGCUCGGUGGCAGUGACUGUGCCAUGUUGCGUGUUGUAGGCAGCAAAGCUGGCCAAGAUGAAGAUUCCCCCCAGUGAGAUGUUCCUGUCAGAAACCGACAAAUACUCCAAGUUUGAUGAAAAUGGUCUGCCCACACACGACACAGAGGGCAAAGAGCUCAGCAAAGGGCAAGCCAAGAAGCUGAAGAAGCUCUUCGAGGCUCAGGAGAAGCUCUACAAGGAAUAUUUGCAGAUGGCCCACAAUGGAAGCUUCCAGUGAGGGGCACAGGACUGACUUUUUAAACCAUUGUGGACUAGUGGCUGCUGUCUGCCUCAGUGACAACGCCCCAGUGCUCCAAUCAUGUUUACAGUCGCCCUUGGGUCCUAAAUUAAGAGUUGUGUUCAUGUAGGUUCAUGUCGUCGUUGGCUCUGAGACAUUGAUAAUAAAUUUUUCUGAACAGUG
RNAcentral lists this small RNA (2631 nucleotides) under Pongo abelii (Sumatran orangutan). Its description in RNAcentral is "retained intron". The record is from RNAcentral. Lineage: Eukaryota; Metazoa; Chordata; Mammalia; Primates; Hominidae.